AUUGAACGCUGGCGGCAUGCUUUACACAUGCAAGUCGAACGGUAACAGGCCGCAAGGUGCUGACGAGUGGCGAACGGGUGAGUAAUGCAUCGGAACGUGCCCAGUCGUGGGGGAUAACGCAGCGAAAGCUGUGCUAAUACCGCAUACGAUCUAUGGAUGAAAGCGGGGGACCGUAAGGCCUCGCGCGAUUGGAGCGGCCGAUGUCAGAUUAGGUAGUUGGUGGGGUAAAGGCUCACCAAGCCAACGAUCUGUAGCUGGUCUGAGAGGACGACCAGCCACACUGGGACCGGGACACGGCCCAGACUCCUACGGGAGGCAGCAGUGGGGAAUUUUGGACAAUGGGCGCAAGCCUGAUUCAGCAAUGCCGCGUGCAGGAAGAAGGCCUUCGGGUUGUAAACUGCUUUUGUACGGAACGAAAAGGUUUGGGUUAAUACCCUGGGCCGAUGACGGUACCGUAAGAAUAAGCACCGGCUAACUACGUGCCAGCCGCCGCCGUAA
RNAcentral lists this ribosomal RNA (498 nucleotides) under uncultured bacterium. RNAcentral's name for it is "partial 16S ribosomal RNA". It matches the Rfam family "Bacterial small subunit ribosomal RNA", at positions 30 to 523 of the family's 1533-position model. The record is from RNAcentral.